Molecule: ribosomal RNA, 1044 nt
Filed under: uncultured archaeon
Lineage: Archaea
Description: bacterial SSU rRNA
Rfam family: Archaeal small subunit ribosomal RNA
Source: RNAcentral
UUCUGUUUGAUCCUGCCAGAGGUCACUGCUAUCGGGGUUCGAUUAAGCCAUGCGAGUCGAGAGGGUUCGGCCCUCGGCGUACUGCUCAGUAACACGUGGAUAACCUGCCCUAGGGAAGGGGAUAACCCCGGGAAACUGGGGAUAAUACCCUAUAGAUUACAGAUGCUGGAAUGCCCUGUAAUCCAAAGUUCCGACGCCCUAGGAUGGAUCUGCGGCCGAUUAGGUUGUUGUUGGGGUAAUGGCCCAACAAGCCCGUAAACGGUACGGGUUGUGGGAGCAAGAGCCCGGAGUUGGAUUCUGAGACACGAAUCCAGGCCCUACGGGGCGCAGCAGGCGCGAAAACUUUACAAUGCGGGCAACCGUGAUAAGGGAACCUCGAGUGCCUGUAAAUGCAGGCUGUUCAGGUGCCUAAAACACACCUGAAGAAAGGGCCGGGCAAGACCGGUGCCAGCCGCCGCGGUAAUACCAGCGGCUCGAGUGGUGGCCGCUUUUAUUGGGCUUAAAGCGUUCGUAGCUGGGUUGUUAAGUCUCUUGGGAAAUCUGGCGGCUUAACCGUCAGGCGUCUAAGGGAUACUGGCAAUCUUGGAACCGGGAGAGGUGAGGGGUACUUCGGGGGUAGGAGUGAAAUCCUGUAAUCCUCGAGGGACCACCUGUGGCGAAGGCGCCUCACCAGAACGGCUUCAACAGUGAGGGACGAAAGCUGGGGGAGCAAACCGGAUUAGAUACCCGGGUAGUCCCAGCCGUAAACUAUGCGCGUUGGGUGUAUCGGUGACCACGAGUUACCGAGGUGCCGAAGGGAAACCGUGAAACGUGCCGCCUGGGAAGUACGGUCGCAAGGCUGAAACUUAAAGGAAUUGGCGGGGGAGCACCACAACAGGUGGAGCCUGCGGUUUAAUUGGACUCAACGCCGGGAAGCUCACCGGAUAAGACAGCAGAAUGAUUGCCGGGCUGAAGACUCUGCAUGACUAGCUGAGAGGAGGUGCAUGGCCGUCGUCAGUUCGUACUGUGAAGCAUCCUGUUAAGUCAGGCAACGAGCGAGACCCA